CGCUGGCGGCGUGCCUAAUACAUGCAAGUCGAGCGAACGGACGAGAAGCUUGCUUCUCUGAUGUUAGCGGCGGACGGGUGAGUAACACGUGGAUAACCUACCUAUAAGACUGGGAUAACUUCGGGAAACCGGAGCUAAUACCGGAUAAUAUUUUGAACCGCAUGGUUCAAAAGUGAAAGACGGUCUUGCUGUCACUUAUAGAUGGAUCCGCGCUGCAUUAGCUAGUUGGUAAGGUAACGGCUUACCAAGGCAACGAUGCAUAGCCGACCUGAGAGGGUGAUCGGCCACACUGGAACUGAGACACGGUCCAGACUCCUACGGGAGGCAGCAGUAGGGAAUCUUCCGCAAUGGGCGAAAGCCUGACGGAGCAACGCCGCGUGAGUGAUGGAGGUCUUCGGAUCGUAAAACUCUGUUAUUAGGGAAGAACAUAUGUGUAAGUAACUGUGCACAUCUUGACGGUACCUAAUCAGAAAGCCACGGCUAACUACGUGCCAGCAGCCGCGGUAAUACGUAGGUGGCAAGCGUUAUCCGGAAUUAUUGGGCGUAAAGCGCGCGUAGGCGGUUCUUUAAGUCUGAUGUGAAAGCCCACGGCUCAACCGUGGAGGGUCAUUGGAAACUGGAAAACUUGAGUGCAGAAGAGGAAAGUGGAAUUCCAUGUGUAGCGGUGAAAUGCGCAGAGAUAUGGAGGAACACCAGUGGCGAAGGCGACUUUCUGGUCUGUAACUGACGCUGAUGUGCGAAAGCGUGGGGAUCAAACAGGAUUAGAUACCCUGGUAGUCC
Molecule: ribosomal RNA, 780 nt
Filed under: uncultured bacterium
Lineage: Bacteria
Description: bacterial SSU rRNA
Rfam family: Bacterial small subunit ribosomal RNA
Source: RNAcentral